Molecule: long non-coding RNA, 989 nt
Filed under: Ornithorhynchus anatinus (platypus)
Lineage: Eukaryota; Metazoa; Chordata; Mammalia; Monotremata; Ornithorhynchidae
Description: lncRNA (ENSOANG00000046728.1)
Source: RNAcentral
GCCCUCCUCCUGCCUGGAUGGAUGCAGGGGUGUUUCACACUUAAGGAGAAAAGGGGUUUAAAAAAAAAGAAAAAGAAAGAAAUCCACGCUUUUCUGUCCUCUUGCCUUUGGCUGUGAACUUUCCCUUCUGGUAAGUUCUCCUUUAAGAAAUGAACUGUUCCCCUAUGAAUAUUUAAUGCUGUUUGUCUGCAGGAUCCAGAUGACGCGGGCUGGAGUCUCACACACAGAACCUGAAUUAUGGUGGGGCAAAUCCGCCACACGCCAAGCGCUGCCUCGGGCCUGGGAUUUUGCUCCAAAUGAGACCGGUUUCCUGUCUGUGUUCGAAGGGGGCGAAGUCUACAGGCUGCUGUUUUAAAAGGAGGCUGAGAGGGGGGGGAAAUCAGAAACAAAAAUGUGUUUUCAAAAGAUCUCCGCCACCGGCAGCCAGGUUUAGACAUGGAGCUGACGUUCCGAGACCAGAGCAACUGUGUGACAAGAUAAAGAUCCAAAGAUAGAAACUGUGUAGACUGGUUAUUUCUCUUCGGCGGUGUGUGGUUCCCGUCCUCGUUCUAGGCCAUGGGCUUUCAUGUGACAUCCGUCCCUCUAUAAAAGGCUAAGGAGGCGAAUCCAUUAGGAGAGAGAGAGAGAGAGAGAAAAGACUGCCGUGGUCUCUAGAGGACUCUGAUUGCCACCAAGGUGGGGGUAAAUUGUGGAGAGAGAAAGGGGGCAGCUCCCAAGUGCUCUCAGUCAGUGAGGAACUGGGGGGGGGGAGUUCAAAGUAGGAGUCGUCAAGCCAAUGGGGUUGGAUGGAGGGUCACCUUUGCACUCUACUGCAUCCCUCAGCCAUUUGGGGGUGGUCUGUUAGGCCGCUGGGCACGUUGGGAUCGUCGAACCUCUCUGUCUACCCUCGUUGAGCCAAUUCUUCCUCAGACAGGCUCCUUCGCACCGGCAGGCAUCUGGUUUUGAUAUAUUGACCCGGCUGGUAUGGAAAUGCAAGGCGGGGGUGGGUG